RNAcentral lists this long non-coding RNA (391 nucleotides) under Pelobates cultripes (western spadefoot toad). Lineage: Eukaryota; Metazoa; Chordata; Amphibia; Anura; Pelobatidae. The record is from RNAcentral.
CUUGUUUGUUGUGUGUUACCCUGUCUUAAGAAAUGCCUACAAAAGACAGUUGAUCAGACAAUCGACCAGACCACCCCGACCUUCCUUCACCAAGAGAUUGACGAUAUCGACCGUGAUACACCACAUACACCCUUACAGUCCCACCGCACUAAAUCAACAGCUACUUCCUCUUAAGGACAUUUAGGGAUAGCGUCUGUCUCUACAGGCAGAAGUCUGCCGCGGGAGAAGUAGUGGACAAGCUGCUAUGGGGUACCCACGCAGUGAAGUGUUCGAGGCCUGUUCAGACAGAUGUGCAAGAUAGCCUUUUGUUAUUUUUCUAUAGGGACAGUAUUAGAAUGAGAGAUAGUAGUUUUAGUAAAAAUUGCCAUUUUAAGGGGGGACUGUUAUGGAC